Molecule: long non-coding RNA, 1564 nt
Organism: Ipomoea nil (Japanese morning glory)
Lineage: Eukaryota; Viridiplantae; Streptophyta; Magnoliopsida; Solanales; Convolvulaceae
Exons: 2
Source: RefSeq, a predicted model, not a curated record
CUUGAACCCCUGCCUCUGCCUUAGAUUUGCAGUGAAGUUCGAACACCUGCUGUUGCCACUGCCACUGGCCACUGCCACGUGAAUCUGAAUUGCAGAUAUUAAAUUGAAGGCGCAAGGCUAAUCAAUUAAGAGUUCCAAGCUUGAAGAAAAGGAGCAUACAAUGGUUCCAAAUUUGGAGGAAGAAGAGUUCAAGAAAUAGGAACUUAUUGAAGAAGGUUUAGAAUAUUUAUAUUUCAUAUUUGUGAGCUCAAGUAUUUCUAAUCCUUUCCUCCAUAUCUUUGAUAUACCUAUUAUUUCUCAUCCUCCACACAAAUGGUUUUUAUAAAAGAGUCAAAAUAUUUUUUGAGUCAAAAGUUACAAAAAAAUUUAAAUCAUUGUUUUAAAAUGAUUUCCUUCAUUUGGUUUAAAAAAUGUUUUCAAUAUCUUUAUUUAGUCAAAGUGAUUUCCAAAGUUGAGGUUUCCAAAAGGGUUAGUGUUUAGUGUUCAAAGGUUCCGGUGCAACUAUACAGUAAGAGGCAGUGGCUAGGUCUUGACUGGGUACCCCACUCUAACCUCACCCUGGAAGGCUGAGAUCAAGCCUCUUAAUAGACAGUGACUGGAUCCUGGCAGCGUGUCCACCCACCAUGACCCAUCCAUGGUAGUGCAGGAAUUUAAAAAAACUAGCCUUUUUUUAACAGUUGAACUCCAUCUUUAUAUCUACAUUACUCCUAUAUCAGCUAUAGAAAUGGAGAUCUAAUCCCCCACCAAUCUCAAACCUUCCAAACUUCAUUUUAACACAUUUCCAUAAAGGAUUUGAGCUAAGAAAACCAUGUUCUUCACCUUUACCCGUACCACAAAGGUUUUCUUCAUUCAUACUUGAAGCUAUGAUCUUAUAACCUUUUCUAUCUUUCCAAAGCUUCUAGUAUUCGUACUUAGAAAGAUGUUCCUACUCUUUUUACAUCCUAAAACCUUUCUAAGUUCAAGAUUGAGUAUUAAACUAUUAAUUGAGCUCCAAAAUGUAAUAUCUUUAUUCUCAAUCUUCUAGAGCCAAAAUGUAUACACCAUUAGUCUAUCAUGGAAAUAUGUACAAAGUAUAUGAAAUUAUGCCAUCUUUCAAAUGGUGUAAACACUUGGGUGUGUAAGAGACGGGUUGUCUCAAUACCAAGUGUGGCUAUGGUGACAUAGAAGCAACCUUGGCAACAAAAGGGUGAAUUUGUUGUACCAUAGUUACGAAGGGAUGAAGGUCAUAGAAGUGCUAUUGUGGUAUAUGGUGCACAAGUGACCCAAAAGAAAAGGGGUCGGUGUCUUGUAUCACCCGAUGCUACGAAUCCUACGAUGGGUUGAUAUUUGUUGAAAUGCUAUCAUUGAGGUGAGAAGUGCAAACCCACAAGGAAGGGUGUUCGUCGAGGAUGGUAACAGUGCCCACCAAAGAACAAGCAACCCAGAAAGUGGAGUUGGAAAUCCUAGGGGAGGGGGAGGUGUCCUUAGGUAGUGGAGUAGGGAUUGUCGAACUACUAAAAAUUCGGUGUUGUUCUUUCCCUUUCUCCUUUAAAUUUAUGCAUACUUGCAAUAUUAUUUUCCCUCA